AAGUUUACUUUGGAUUCUUAGCGGCGGACGGGUGAGUAACGCGUGGGCAACCUACCCUGUACAGGGGGAUAACAAUGGGAAACCAUUGCUAAUACCCCAUGACGCCUUUUGGGGGCAUCCCUAAAAGGUCAAAGAACUUCGGUACGGGAUGGGUCCGCGUCUGAUUAGCUAGUUGGUGAGGUAAUGGCUCACCAAGGCGACGAUCAGUAGCCGGCCUGAGAGGGUGAACGGCCACACUGGAACUGAGACACGGUCCAGACUCCUACGGGAGGCAGCAGUGGGGAAUAUUGCACAAUGGGCGAAAGCCUGAUGCAGCAACGCCGCGUGAGCGAUGAAGGCUUUCGGGUCGUAAAGCUCUGUCCUAAGGGAAGAUAAUGACGGUACCUUAGGAGGAAGCCCCGGCUAACUACGUGCCAGCAGCCGCGGUAAUACGUAGGGGGCAAGCGUUAUCCGGAAUCAUUGGGCGUAAAGGGUGCGUAGGCAGCCCUAUAGGUCAGAGGUCAAAGGCUACGGCUCAACCGUAGUAAGCCUUUGAAACUGUAGGGCUUGAGUGCAGGAGAGGAGAGUGGAAUUCCUAGUGUAGCGGUGAAAUGCGUAGAUAUUAGGAGGAACACCAGUGGCGAAGGCGACUCUCUGGACUGCAACUGACGCUGAGGCACGAAAGCGUGGGGAGCGAACAGGAUUAGAUACCCUGGUAGUCCACGCCGUAAACGAUGAGUGCUAGGUGUCGGGGGUCGAACCUCGGUGCCGCAGCUAACGCAUUAAGCACUCCGCCUGGGGAGUACGUUCGCAAGAAUGAAACUCAAAGGAAUUGACGGGGACCCGCACAAGCAGCGGAGCAUGUGGUUUAAUUCGAAGCAACGCGAAGAACCUUACCUGGACUUGACAUCCCUCGGACCGCUUUUUAACCAAAGCCUUCCCUUCGGGGACUGAGGUGACAGGUGGUGCAUGGUUGUCGUCAGCUCG
This 966-nucleotide ribosomal RNA is filed under the name uncultured bacterium. RNAcentral's name for it is "bacterial SSU rRNA". It matches the Rfam family "Bacterial small subunit ribosomal RNA", at positions 76 to 1062 of the family's 1533-position model. The record is from RNAcentral.